RNAcentral lists this small nuclear RNA (108 nucleotides) under Rattus norvegicus (Norway rat). The record is from RNAcentral. Lineage: Eukaryota; Metazoa; Chordata; Mammalia; Rodentia; Muridae.
GUCCUUACUUCAGCAGCAUACACAGUAAAAUUGGAAAUGAUACAGAGAAGAUUAGUAGGGUCCCUUCACAAGGAUGACACACAACUUCAUGAAGCAUUCCCUAUUUUU